UAGCCUUGGAUAAUGCUCUUUUGCAUU
This 27-nucleotide small RNA is filed under the name Bombyx mori (domestic silkworm). RNAcentral's name for it is "ovarian small RNA-22400". The record is from RNAcentral. Lineage: Eukaryota; Metazoa; Arthropoda; Insecta; Lepidoptera; Bombycidae.